GAUCGGCCACAUUGGGACUGAGACACGGCCCAAACUCCUACGGGAGGCUGCAGUAGGGAAUCUUCCACAAUGGGCGAAAGCCUGAUGGAGCAACGCCGCGUGUGUGAUGAAGGCUUUCGGGUCGUAAAGCACUGUUGUAUGGGAAGAAAAGUUAAGGUAGGGAAUGACCUUAGCCUGACGGUACCAUACCAGAAAGGGACGGCUAAAUACGUGCCAGCAGCCGCGGUAAUACGUAUGUCCCGAGCGUUAUCCGGAUUUAUUGGGCGUAAAGCGAGCGCAGACGGUUGGUUAAGUCUGAUGUGAAAGCCCGGAGCUCAACUCCGGAAAGGCAUUGGAAACUGGUUAACUUGAGUGCAGUAGAGGUAAGUGGAACUCCAUGUGUAGCGGUGGAAUGCGUAGAUAUAUGGAAGAACACCAGCGGCGAAGGCGGCUUACUGGACUGUAACUGACGUUGAGGCUCGAAAGUGUGGGUAGCAAACAGGAUUAGAUACCCUGGUAGUCCACACCGUAAACGAUGAACACUAGGUGUUAGGAGGUUUCCGCCUCUUAGUGCCGAAGCUAACGCAUUAAGUGUUCCGCCUGGGGAGUACGACCGCAAGGUUGAAACUCAAAGGAAUUGACGGGGACCCGCACAAGCGGUGGAGCAUGUGGUUUAAUUCGAAGCAACGCGAAGAACCUUACCAGGUCUUGACAUCCUUUGAAGCUUUUAGAAAUAGAAGUGUUCUCUUCGGAGACAAAGUGACAGGUGGUGCAUGGUCGUCGUCAGCUCGUGUCGUGAGAUGUUGGGUUAAGUCCCGCAACGAGCGCAACCCUUAUUGUUAGUUGCCAGCAUUCAGAUGGGCACUCUAGCGAGACUGCCGGUGACAAACCGGAGGAAGGCGGGGACGACGUCAGAUCAUCAUGCCCCUUAUGACCUGGGCUACACACGUGCUACAAUGGCGUAUACAACGAGUUGCCAACCUGCGAAGGUGAGCUAAUCUCUUAAAGUACGUCUCAGUUCGGACUGCAGUCUGCAACUCGACUGCACGAAGUCGGAAUCGCUAGUAAUCGCGGAUCAGCACGCCGCGGUGAAUACGUUCCCGGGUCUUGUACACACCGCCCGUCACACCAUGGAAGUUUGUAAUGCCCAAAGCCGGUGGCCUAACCGUAAGGAGGGAACC
RNAcentral lists this ribosomal RNA (1160 nucleotides) under Leuconostoc carnosum. Its description in RNAcentral is "bacterial SSU rRNA". It matches the Rfam family "Bacterial small subunit ribosomal RNA", at positions 302 to 1454 of the family's 1533-position model. Lineage: Bacteria; Bacillati; Bacillota; Bacilli; Lactobacillales; Lactobacillaceae. The record is from RNAcentral.